CAUUGGUGUGCCCGCUUAUGA
This 21-nucleotide microRNA is filed under the name Drosophila virilis. RNAcentral describes it as "dvi-miR-9717-5p". Lineage: Eukaryota; Metazoa; Arthropoda; Insecta; Diptera; Drosophilidae. The record is from miRBase by way of RNAcentral.